GGUGAACGCUGGCGGUAGGCCUAACACAUGCAAGUCGAACGGCAGCACAGUAAGAGCUUGCUCUUACGGGUGGCGAGUGGCGGACGGGUGAGGAAUACAUCGGAAUCUACUUUUUCGUGGGGGAUAACGUAGGGAAACUUACGCUAAUACCGCAUACGACCUACGGGUGAAAGCAGGGGAUCUUCGGACCUUGCGCGAUUGAAUGAGCCGAUGUCGGAUUAGCUAGUUGGCGGGGUAAGGGCCAACCAAGGCGACGAUCCGUAGCUGGUCUGAGAGGAUGAGCAGCCACACUGUAACUGAGACACGGUCCAGACUCCUACGGGAGGCAGCAGUGGAGAAUAUUGGACAAAGGGCGCAAGCCUGAUCCAGCCAUACCGCGUGGGUGAAGGAGGCCUUCGGGUUGUAAAGCCCUUUUGUUGGGAAAGAAAAGCAGCAGCUUAAUACCCCGCUGUUCUGACGGUACCCAAAGAAUAAGCACCGGCUAACCUCGUG
Molecule: ribosomal RNA, 492 nt
Filed under: uncultured bacterium
Lineage: Bacteria
Description: partial 16S ribosomal RNA
Rfam family: Bacterial small subunit ribosomal RNA
Source: RNAcentral